RNA transcript from Drosophila gunungcola (fruit fly), 1714 nucleotides. It is a transcript of the gene named cell cycle control protein 50A, with no coding region annotated. Lineage: Eukaryota; Metazoa; Arthropoda; Insecta; Diptera; Drosophilidae. The transcript is spliced from 7 exons. The record is from RefSeq and is a predicted model, not a curated record.
AUCGAUUACUCAUGUGGUGCCGUCGCUAAGCCCGAAAAUUAUUGUUGUAAAUUUAUUUACUUUAUUCAAUUGGACAAACUUGGAGCGUGUGGACGAGCUUAGGAGCAUUGUAGUGCCAGCCGAUCCUAGAUAAAAAACAGAUAAACCGCCAUGUCUACGCAGCCAGCGGAGAUUGAGGAGAGUGCGGCGGCGAAGUCCAAGCGACCUUCAGAUUCGGCCUUCAAGCAGCAGCGCCUGCCCGCCUGGCAGCCCGUCCUCACCGCCCGCACCGUCCUGCCCACAUUCUUCGUGAUCGGGGUGCUCUUCAUACCCAUCGGCGUGGUCCUGCUGCACCUGAGCAACACCGCCAACGAGCUGAUCAUAGACUACACCAAGUGCAGGUCGACCACUGGCAACGCCACCUGCGCGGAGUUCCUGGAGGCCAACCCCGGCCGCGAGUGCCCCUGCCAAGUGCCCUUCGUUCUGCCCAAGGACUUCAAUGGCGAGGUCUAUAUGUACUACGGACUGACAAACUACUACCAGAACCACCGGCGCUAUGUGAAGUCACGGGACGACGAGCAACUGCUGGGUCACCUGUCGCAAACGCCCAGCACGGACUGCGCCCCAUUCGCUUAUGGUCCGGAAUCCGGAAAGCCCAUAGCGCCCUGCGGUGCCAUCGCCAACUCGCUGUUCAAUGACACGCUGACCCUGAUCCAGGGUGGAGCCGAGAUCAAGCUGUUGAAGACGGGCAUUGCCUGGCCGUCGGACAAGCGGGUCAAGUUCCGCAACCCGGAGGGCAACCUCAACGUCACCCUCGAGGGCUUCGAGAAGCCGGUGUUCUGGCAGAAGGGCCUGGCCGACCUGGACCCAGAGAAUCCGGAGAACAACGGCUUCCAAAACGAGGAUCUUAUCGUGUGGAUGCGCACUGCCGCCCUGCCCAGCUUCCGGAAGUUAUAUCGUCGGCUCGACCAGACGAACAGCAACUAUGCUAACGGCCUCAAGGCCGGCAAUUAUACGCUAAACAUCACGUAUAAAUAUCCAGUGGUCUCGUUCGACGGCACCAAGCGCAUGAUAUUGUCCACCACUUCCGUGCUGGGUGGCAAGAAUCCUUUCCUGGGCAUUGCGUACAUUGUGGUCGGCGCCAUUUGCAUCACAUUGGGCCUGGCCCUGCUUUUCAUCCAUAUGCGCUGCAGUCGCAGAAUUGUAGUGCAUUAAGUACGCUGGGAAUCGAGAAUAUCAUAACCCAUUGAAGCCCCAUAAUUAAGCAUGGCCAAAAUACCUUUGCUCGCAACAUGGAGAUGAUCAACGUGAAUCCGCACACGCAGUACUCCUAGACCGAGCACCGACAGUAUUCCGGGCUGAUUCAAUUAGCUUUAGUAGAUCCAUCUGUUUAAGCCCAAUCAGCAUAAAGUAGUUUCUAUUGACCAACUGGCACUGUGUUCUCAACUACUCUGUUCUAUUUGCUUUCUGGCUGUCUGCAUUUGGCCAUCCGGUGAUCUGGCCAUGCCUUUUGUUUAUUCUAAUUCUGUUCUUGUCCCCACAUGUGCAUCCAAAAUAAUUGUGAUUCUCUUUGUAUAACUUAUUCUGCACAUCACAACAUUAAGUGGACGCCCUUCGAAAAUCCACACGAAUUUCCACCAUUGCUUUACAAACUGCAAAGUAUUACUUUGCGCCUGACCUAAUCUGUAUUGCCUUUUACUACGUUUAUAAGCGCAAAUAAAUAUUGUUAAUGGCA